RNAcentral lists this ribosomal RNA (495 nucleotides) under uncultured bacterium. RNAcentral describes it as "partial 16S ribosomal RNA". It matches the Rfam family "Bacterial small subunit ribosomal RNA", at positions 28 to 507 of the family's 1533-position model. The record is from RNAcentral.
GACGAACGCUGGCGGCGUGCCUAAUACAUGCAAGUAGAACGCUGAAGGAGGAGCUUGCUCUUCUGGAUGAGUUGCGAACGGGUGAGUAACGCGUAGGUAACCUGCCUGGUAGCGGGGGAUAACUAUUGGAAACGAUAGCUAAUACCGCAUAAGAGUAGAUGUUGCAUGACAUUUACUUAAAAGGUGCAAUUGCAUCACUACCAGAUGGACCUGCGUUGUAUUAGCUAGUUGGUGGGGUAACGGCUUACCAAGGCGACGAUACAUAGCCGACCUGAGAGGGUGAUCGGCCGCACUGGGACUGAGACACGGCCCAGACUCCUACGGGAGGCAGCAGUAGGGAAUCUUCGGCAAUGGACGGAAGUCUGACCGAGCAACGCCGCGUGAGUGAAGAAGGUUUUCGGAUCGUAAAGCUCUGUUGUAAGAGAAGAACGAGUGUGAGAGUGGAAAGUUCACACUGUGACGGUAUCUUACCAGAAAGGGACGGCUAACUACGUG